UUUGGAGGGCAAGUCUGGUGCCAGCAGCCGCGGUAAUUCCAGCUCCAAUAGCGUAUAUUAAAGUUGUUGCAGUUAAAAAGCUCGUAGUUGAAUUUCGGGGUUAGUAGGUUGGCCAUGCCUCUGGUAUGUACUGGUCUCACUGAUUCCUCCUUCCUGAUGAGCCGUAAUGCCAUUAAUUUGGUGUUGCGGGGAAUUUGGACUGUUACUUUGAAAAAAUUAGAGUGUUUAAAGCAAGCUAACGCUUGAAUACAUUAGCAUGGAAUAAUGAAAUAGGACGUUCGAUCCUAUUUUGUUGGUUUCUAGGAUUGACGUAAUGAUUAAUAGGGAUAGUUGGGGGCAUUAGUAUUCAAUUGUCAGAGGUGAAAUUCUUGGAUUUAUUGAAGACUAACUACUGCGAAAGCAUUUGCCAAGGAUGUUUUCAUUAAUCAAGAACGAAAGUUAGGGGAUCGAAGACGAUCAGAUACCGUCGUAGUCUUAACCAUAAACUAUGCCGACUAGGGAUCGGAUGAUGUUAAUUUUUUAAUGACUCAUUCGGCGCCUUACGGGAAACA
This 551-nucleotide ribosomal RNA is filed under the name uncultured Glomus. RNAcentral describes it as "SSU rRNA". It matches the Rfam family "Eukaryotic small subunit ribosomal RNA", at positions 547 to 1099 of the family's 1831-position model. The record is from RNAcentral. Lineage: Eukaryota; Fungi; Glomeromycota; Glomeromycetes; Glomerales; Glomeraceae.